Molecule: ribosomal RNA, 1647 nt
Filed under: human gut metagenome
Description: bacterial LSU rRNA
Rfam family: Bacterial large subunit ribosomal RNA
Source: RNAcentral
UGAAAGGCCAAUCAAACCGGGAGAUAGCUGGUUCUCCCCGAAAGCUAUUUAGGUAGCGCCUCGUGAAUUCAUCUCCGGGGGUAGAGCACUGUUUCGGCAAGGGGGUCAUCCCGACUUACCAACCCGAUGCAAACUGCGAAUACCGGAGAAUGUUAUCACGGGAGACACACGGCGGGUGCUAACGUCCGUCGUGAAGAGGGAAACAACCCAGACCGCCAGCUAAGGUCCCAAAGUCAUGGUUAAGUGGGAAACGAUGUGGGAAGGCCCAGACAGCCAGGAUGUUGGCUUAGAAGCAGCCAUCAUUUAAAGAAAGCGUAAUAGCUCACUGGUCGAGUCGGCCUGCGCGGAAGAUGUAACGGGGCUAAACCAUGCACCGAAGCUGCGGCAGCGACGCUUAUGCGUUGUUGGGUAGGGGAGCGUUCUGUAAGCCUGUGAAGGUGUACUGUGAGGUAUGCUGGAGGUAUCAGAAGUGCGAAUGCUGACAUAAGUAACGAUAAAGCGGGUGAAAAGCCCGCUCGCCGGAAGACCAAGGGUUCCUGUCCAACGUUAAUCGGGGCAGGGUGAGUCGACCCCUAAGGCGAGGCCGAAAGGCGUAGUCGAUGGGAAACAGGUUAAUAUUCCUGUACUUGGUGUUACUGCGAAGGGGGGACGGAGAAGGCUAUGUUGGCCGGGCGACGGUUGUCCCGGUUUAAGCGUGUAGGCUGGUUUUCCAGGUAAAUCCGGAAAAUCAAGGCUGAGGCGUGAUGACGAGGCACUACGGUGCUGAAGCAACAAAUGCCCUGCUUCCAGGAAAAGCCUCUAAGCAUCAGGUAACAUUAAAUCGUACCCCAAACCGACACAGGUGGUCAGGUAGAGAAUACCAAGGCGCUUGAGAGAACUCGGGUGAAGGAACUAGGCAAAAUGGUGCCGUAACUUCGGGAGAAGGCACGCUGAUAUGUAGGUGAAGCGACUUGCUCGUGGAGCUGAAAUCAGUCGAAGAUACCAGCUGGCUGCAACUGUUUAUUAAAAACACAGCACUGUGCAAACACGAAAGUGGACGUAUACGGUGUGACGCCUGCCCGGUGCCGGAAGGUUAAUUGAUGGGGUUAGCGGUAACGCGAAGCUCUUGAUCGAAGCCCCGGUAAACGGCGGCCGUAACUAUAACGGUCCUAAGGUAGCGAAAUUCCUUGUCGGGUAAGUUCCGACCUGCACGAAUGGCGUAAUGAUGGCCAGGCUGUCUCCACCCGAGACUCAGUGAAAUUGAACUCGCUGUGAAGAUGCAGUGUACCCGCGGCAAGACGGAAAGACCCCGUGAACCUUUACUAUAGCUUGACACUGAACAUUGAGCCUUGAUGUGUAGGAUAGGUGGGAGGCUUUGAAGUGUGGACGCCAGUCUGCAUGGAGCCGACCUUGAAAUACCACCCUUUAAUGUUUGAUGUUCUAACGUAGGCCCCUUAUCGGGGUUGCGGACAGUGUCUGGUGGGUAGUUUGACUGGGGCGGUCUCCUCCUAAAGAGUAACGGAGGAGCACGAAGGUUGGCUAAUCCUGGUCGGACAUCAGGAGGUUAGUGCAAUGGCAUAAGCCAGCUUGACUGCGAGCGUGACGGCGCGAGCAGGUGCGAAAGCAGGUCAUAGUGAUCCGGUGGUUCUGAAUGGAAGGGCCAUCGCU